RNAcentral lists this ribosomal RNA (1101 nucleotides) under Triticum aestivum (bread wheat). RNAcentral describes it as "partial small subunit ribosomal RNA". The record is from RNAcentral. Lineage: Eukaryota; Viridiplantae; Streptophyta; Magnoliopsida; Poales; Poaceae.
AUGGCGGGGAGCGCGUGCUGCUGGCGGUCGCUGGCCGUGGUGCUGGCGGUGGUGGGCGCGGCGGCGACGACGGCCGGGGCGGCGCCGCAGGUGCCGUGCUACUUCGUGUUCGGGGACUCGCUGGUGGACAACGGCAACAACAACGGCAUCGUCUCGCUCGCGCGCGCCAACUACCCGCCCUACGGCGUCGACUUCGCCGGCGGGCCCACCGGACGCUUCUCCAACGGACUCACCACCGUCGACGCCAUCUCCAAGCUUCUGGGCUUCGACGACUUCAUCCCCCCGUUCGCCGGUGCGACCAGCGACCAGCUCCUCACCGGCGUCAACUUCGCCUCCGCCGCCGCCGGCAUCCGGGAAGAGACCGGGCAGCAGCUGGGUGGACGCAUCAGCUUCAGCGGGCAGGUGCAGAACUACCAGAGCGCGGUGGAGCAGCUGGUGAGCAUCCUGGGGGACGAGGACGCGGCGGCGAACCGCCUGAGCCAGUGCAUCUUCACCGUCGGCAUGGGCAGCAACGACUACCUCAACAACUACUUCAUGCCGGCCUUCUACGACACGGGGAGCCGCUACACGCCGGCGCAGUACGCCGACGACCUGGCGGCGCGCUACACGCAGCUCCUCCGCGCGCUCUACAGCUACGGGGCGCGCAAGGUGGCGCUCAUCGGCGUGGGGCAGGUCGGGUGCAGCCCCAACGAGCUGGCCACGCAGAGCGCCAACGGCGUGGCCUGCGUCGACCGGAUCAACGUCGCCGUCCGGAUGUUCAACCAGCGGCUCGUCGGCAUGGUCGACCAGUUCAACCGCCUCCUCCCCGGCGCGCACUUCACCUACAUCAACAUCGAUGGCAUCUUCUCCGACAUCCUCCGGGCGCCCGGCGGCCAUGGCCUGAAGGUGACCAACCGGGGCUGCUGCGGCGUGGGGCGGAACAACGGGCAGGUCACCUGCCUGCCGUUCCAGACGCCGUGCCCCAACCGCAACGAGUACCUCUUCUGGGACGCCUUCCACCCCACCGAGGCCGCCAACGUGCUCGUCGGCCAGCGGGCCUACGCCGCCCGGCUCGCCUCCGACGUGCACCCCGUCGACCUCCGCACCCUCGCACGCCUCUAG